This 1168-nucleotide ribosomal RNA is filed under the name Salmonella enterica subsp. enterica serovar 4,12:i:-. Its description in RNAcentral is "partial 23S ribosomal RNA". It matches the Rfam family "Bacterial large subunit ribosomal RNA", at positions 1 to 1211 of the family's 2925-position model. Lineage: Bacteria; Pseudomonadati; Pseudomonadota; Gammaproteobacteria; Enterobacterales; Enterobacteriaceae. The record is from RNAcentral.
GGGUUGUGAGGUUAAGCGACUAAGCGUACACGGUGGAUGCCCUGGCAGUCAGAGGCGAUGAAGGACGUGCUAAUCUGCGAUAAGCGCCGGUAAGGUGAUAUGAACCGUUAUAACCGGCGAUUUCCGAAUGGGGAAACCCAGUGUGAUUCGUCACACUAUCAUUAACUGAAUCCAUAGGUUAAUGAGGCGAACCGGGGGAACUGAAACAUCUAAGUACCCCGAGGAAAAGAAAUCAACCGAGAUUCCCCCAGUAGCGGCGAGCGAACGGGGAGGAGCCCAGAGCCUGAAUCAGCAUGUGUGUUAGUGGAAGCGUCUGGAAAGGCGCGCGAUACAGGGUGACAGCCCCGUACACAAAAGCGCAUGUGCUGUGAGCUCGAUGAGUAGGGCGGGACACGUGGUAUCCUGUCUGAAUAUGGGGGGACCAUCCUCCAAGGCUAAAUACUCCUGACUGACCGAUAGUGAACCAGUACCGUGAGGGAAAGGCGAAAAGAACCCCGGCGAGGGGAGUGAAAAAGAACCUGAAACCGUGUACGUACAAGCAGUGGGAGCACGUGACUGCGUACCUUUUGUAUAAUGGGUCAGCGACUUAUAUUCUGUAGCAAGGUUAACCGAAUAGGGGAGCCGGAGGGAAACCGAGUCUUAACCGGGCGUUAAGUUGCAGGGUAUAGACCCGAAACCCGGUGAUCUAGCCAUGGGCAGGUUGAAGGUUGGGUAACACUAACUGGAGGACCGAACCGACUAAUGUUGAAAAAUUAGCGGAUGACCUGUGGCUGGGGGUGAAAGGCCAAUCAAACCGGGAGAUAGCUGGUUCUCCCCGAAAGCUAUUUAGGUAGCGCCUCGUGAAUUCAUCUCCGGGGGUAGAGCACUGUUUCGGCUAGGGGGCCAUCCCGGCUUACCAACCCGAUGCAAACUGCGAAUACCGGAGAAUGUUAUCACGGGAGACACACGGCGGGUGCUAACGUCCGUCGUGAAGAGGGAAACAACCCAGACCGCCAGCUAAGGUCCCAAAGUCAUGGUUAAGUGGGAAACGAUGUGGGAAGGCCCAGACAGCCAGGAUGUUGGCUUAGAAGCAGCCAUCAUUUAAAGAAAGCGUAAUAGCUCACUGGUCGAGUCGGCCUGCGCGGAAGAUGUAACGGGGCUAAACCAUGCACCGAAGCUGCGGCAGCGA